This 468-nucleotide ribosomal RNA is filed under the name uncultured bacterium. Its description in RNAcentral is "partial 16S ribosomal RNA". It matches the Rfam family "Bacterial small subunit ribosomal RNA", at positions 28 to 507 of the family's 1533-position model. The record is from RNAcentral.
GACGAACGCUGGCGGCGUGCUUAACACAUGCAAGUCGAACGGAAAGGCCCUGCUUUUGUGGGGUGCUCGAGUGGCGAACGGGUGAGUAACACGUGAGUAACCUGCCCUUGACUUUGGGAUAACUUCAGGAAACUGGGGCUAAUACCGGAUAGGAGCUCCUGCUGCAUGGUGGGGGUUGGAAAGUUUCGGCGGUUGGGGCUGGACUCGCGGCUUAUCAGCUUGUUGGUGGGGUAGUGGCUUACCAAGGCUUUGACGGGUAGCCGGCCUGGGAGGGUGACCGGCCACAUUGGGACUGAGAUACGGCCCAGAAUCCUACGGGAGGCAGCAGUGGGGAAUAUUGCACAAUGGGCGGAAGCCUGAUGCAGCAACGCCGCGUGCGGGAUGACGGCCUUCGGGUUGUAAACCGCUUUCGCCUGUGACGAAGCGUGAGUGACGGUAAUGGGUAAAGAAGCACCGGCUAACUACGUG